CAUAAUGCCAGCGUAAAGAACGAAGUCGGUUGGGGGCGGGAGGUCGGGAUAAUGGAUGGUUGUAGACCUUAUUCAUGAAUGAAGCAUGUCUCUGUGGAAGAGAAGAGCGUAAAGUUUCAACGUUAGAAGGAAUUGGUGGAAUAUCAGUAGGAUCUAAAAAUCCGGAUGAUUCUGCCAUGUCAGAAUGCCACGAAGUAGCCGAAUACAAGUCCUCAUACGACGAAUAACAUAAAGAUGCGGGAUCUGGAUUAGGAGAUUCAGUACCUGAAAUGGACAUUGGUUUUGACGGGGAUAGGGCUGAGUGAUCUGUGGGCUGAGGAAUUUGACCUACACUACUGGAAGGCGAAGUUAUGGAAGGGUCGAAAAGAAUAGCAAGAUCUGGAGGAGAAAAGGUGACAGAUCGAUGCUUGGAAGAAAAGGAUGAAGUACGGGAAGGUAAACGGGAAUGCGUGGGAAGAUCAGCGAUAAACCAAGGAUGUUGCAUUAUUUCUGCAACUUUGAUUCGUGAAGUAGGAAGCACCAUUAACAUUUGACGAAUGAGAUCUGAGGCUGAAGAAGAUACAAAACUAGGAAUGGUGUAGAUUCCUUUACAAACGCGACUUAAUACAUUGGAGAUGGUUACAUCCUCAAAGGGAAACUCGCCGACGAGCAUCAAAUACAAUAAGAUUCCGCAACCCCAUACAUCUA
Schizosaccharomyces pombe (fission yeast) is the source of this 687-nucleotide non-coding RNA. Lineage: Eukaryota; Fungi; Ascomycota; Schizosaccharomycetes; Schizosaccharomycetales; Schizosaccharomycetaceae. The record is from the annotation of a GenBank genome assembly.